RNAcentral lists this ribosomal RNA (500 nucleotides) under uncultured bacterium. RNAcentral's name for it is "partial 16S ribosomal RNA". It matches the Rfam family "Bacterial small subunit ribosomal RNA", at positions 30 to 523 of the family's 1533-position model. The record is from RNAcentral.
AUUGAACGCUGGCGGAAUGCUUUACACAUGCAAGUCGAACGGCAGCACGGACUUCGGUCUGGUGGCGAGUGGCGAACGGGUGAGUAACAUAUCGGAACGUAUCCAAUAAUGGGGGAUAACGAGUCGAAAGAUUCGCUAAUACCGCAUACGCCCUACGGGGGAAAGCUGGGGACCUUCGGGCCUGGCGUUAAUGGAGGGGCCGAUAUCUGAUUAGCUAGUUGGUGAGGUAAAGGCUCACCAAGGCGAAGAUCAGUAGCUGGUCUGAGAGGACGACCAGGCACACUGGAACUGCGACACGGUCCGGACCCCUACGGGAGGCAGCAGUGGGGAAUUUUGGACAAUGGGCGCAAGCCUGAUCCAGCCAUUCCGCGUGAGUGAAGAAGGCCUUCGGGUUGUAAAGCUCUUUCGCAAGGGAAGAAAACUUAGCCACUAACAUUGGUUGCGGUUGACGGUACCUUGAUAAGAAGCACCGGCUAACUACGUGCCAGCCGCCGCCGUAA